UCCGAGUUGACCCCGGCAGUCUCCUACGAGUCCCCGGCAUUACCCGCUGGCAACAUAGGACAAGGGUUGCGCUCGUUGCGGGACUUAACCCAACAUCUCACGACACGAGCUGACGACAGCCGUGCACCACCUCGCACCCUGCCCCGAAGGGAGACCGGCUUUCACCGGCUGUCAGGGCACGUUCAAGCCCAGGUAAGGUUCUUCGCGUCGCAUCGAAUUAAACCACACGCUCCGCUGCUUGUGCGGGCCCCCGUCAACUCAUUUGAGUUUUAGCCUUGCGGCCGUACUCCCCAGGCGGGGCGCUUAAUGCGUUAGCUACGGCACGGAUCCCGUGGAAGGAAACCCACACCUAGCGCCCACCGUUUACGGCGUGGACUAC
RNAcentral lists this unclassified non-coding RNA (379 nucleotides) under uncultured Actinomycetes bacterium. RNAcentral's name for it is "uncultured actinobacterium contains 16S-23S intergenic spacer region". Lineage: Bacteria; Bacillati; Actinomycetota; Actinomycetes. The record is from RNAcentral.